This is a long non-coding RNA of Papaver somniferum (opium poppy), 1376 nucleotides long. RefSeq lists it as uncharacterized. Lineage: Eukaryota; Viridiplantae; Streptophyta; Magnoliopsida; Ranunculales; Papaveraceae. The transcript has 3 exons. The record is from RefSeq and is a predicted model, not a curated record.
GUUAAGAGCUGAAACUCUGAGAAGAUCAAAAUCAGCAAACUCUAAACCAACCAAAAAACCAAACUAAAAACAAUCCAAAAUCUCAAUAUCAAAAUCCACUUUGAGAGCAAAAAUAUCAAUUAGUGUAUAAGGGUUUCCAUUUCUAUCGAUAAAUCAGGAAAUUCAUCAGAUCUUUCAUUUGGUAUUCGUACUAAUUCAAUCAAGGAUGGUAGUGAGGUUGCAGUGGAGCGAUUUGAGGAGAAGGGUGAAGUGAAAUCUCAGAAGAAGAAUAAUAAAGAUGGGAGUGAGGUUGUUGGUAAUGAAGAAUUAGAAGUUGGGAAGAACAAUUUGUUGCUGCGGUUGAUGAUGAGGACUAAAUGGUACAGAGUACGAGUGUUUCAAGGGUUAAGAAUUAUGGAUUUGUUUUGAAUUCGUGAAUAAUUGCAGGAAGGAGAUGAGACAGGUGUUAGAAGAACACACUCAAUUCAUCUUUGCAAACGGCAAGUCGUGCAACGUGUUUGAGGAAAUGCCUGAGUGCUAGCUGAAGUUGUUAUUACUGUGAAUAAGGGAUUGAAAGUUGUUUUAAUGAAAUGGUCUUGCUGCAAGCUGUUGUAGGGGUAUAUGGUUUGCAGUGGAGGAACCGGUGAUUGAUAUUGGCUAGAAAUGGGAAAGAUGCAAGCGCAAUAGCUAUGAAUUCAUUGCAAUUCAACUGGCCUGGUUCCUGGUGAUGAUCUAAAAUGGGUCAAACUCUGCACAGAUGAUGACCUUGUCGCAGUUGCCUCUUUAAAGAAUUGGACAACCAAACUCGUUGCAAUGGCUAUGAACUCCAGUCGAUAUGGAAGAUGUUGCAGGCUAGACUUGGAAGUGUUGGUGUUUGAAGUAGAUGCUGCCGCAGAUUAUAGUGUUCAUGCUAUGUUUUGAGUCUCAGUUACAAGAUGAGAAGUUAGGUUCAAGGUUCACUUGAAAUGAUUCAGAUGCUAAGAAGAGUACCAGAUAUAUAGGUUGCAUUGCACUGUUGGGAGAUAUGGUAAGAGUAUGAUGUGCUUGACGAAUAAUGGCUGGGUGUUGCUGCUAGUUAUUGGUUUGACGAAUUACAGGCCAUCAUGACGCUACACAUUUGCACAAGCCUUUGCAACUCGAACCAAUCAGCUGAGCCAGACUAGCUGACUCGGUCUGAUUUGAAAGGAAAAAAAACAAUGACAGACUUUAAUCAGAGAUAUUCAAGGGAGUAUUAUGUCAUUUUAAUUUCACUUAACUGGGCUAACUUUCCGUCCACCGUUUUUGGUUAAAACUAGACUAGUUCUGUAAGAAAUAAAAAAACUGGCAUAAUUUUGUAAACCAUAAAAAAAAGGCUUAUUUUUGUAAAAAGCCCAAAUAUAAAUUGAUCUGUUUUUAGG